Molecule: ribosomal RNA, 862 nt
Filed under: Caulobacter sp. MR29
Lineage: Bacteria; Pseudomonadati; Pseudomonadota; Alphaproteobacteria; Caulobacterales; Caulobacteraceae
Description: bacterial SSU rRNA
Rfam family: Bacterial small subunit ribosomal RNA
Source: RNAcentral
GGACGGGUGAGUGACACGUGGGAACGUGCCCUUUGGUUCGGAACAACUCAGGGAAACUUGAGCUAAUACCGGAUGUGCCCUUCGGGGGAAAGAUUUAUCGCCAUUGGAGCGGCCCGCGUCUGAUUAGCUAGUUGGUGAGGUAAAGGCUCACCAAGGCGACGAUCAGUAGCUGGUCUGAGAGGAUGAUCAGCCACAUUGGGACUGAGACACGGCCCAAACUCCUACGGGAGGCAGCAGUGGGGAAUCUUGCGCAAUGGGCGAAAGCCUGACGCAGCCAUGCCGCGUGAAUGAUGAAGGUCUUAGGAUUGUAAAAUUCUUUCACCGGGGACGAUAAUGACGGUACCCGGAGAAGAAGCCCCGGCUAACUUCGUGCCAGCAGCCGCGGUAAUACGAAGGGGGCUAGCGUUGCUCGGAAUUACUGGGCGUAAAGGGAGCGUAGGCGGACUGUUAAGUUAGAGGUGAAAGCCCAGGGCUCAACCUUGGAAUUGCCUUUGAUACUGGCAGUCUUGAGUACGGAAGAGGUAUGUGGAACUCCGAGUGUAGAGGUGAAAUUCGUAGAUAUUCGGAAGAACACCAGUGGCGAAGGCGACAUACUGGGUCCGUUACUGACGCUGAGGCUCGAAAGCGUGGGGAGCAAACAGGGAUUAGAUACCCUGGGUAGUCCCACGCCGUAAACGAUGAGUGCUAGUUGUCGGGCAUGCAUGCAUGUCGGUGACGCAGCUAACGCAUUUAAGCACUCCGCCUGGGGAGUACGGUCGCAAGAUUAAAACUCAAAGGAAUUUGACGGGGGCCCGCACAAGCGGGUGGAGCAUGUGGUUUUAAUUCGAAGCAACGCGCAGAAGCUGUACCACCUUUUGACAUG